RNAcentral lists this ribosomal RNA (253 nucleotides) under uncultured bacterium. RNAcentral's name for it is "partial 16S ribosomal RNA". It matches the Rfam family "Bacterial small subunit ribosomal RNA", at positions 524 to 776 of the family's 1533-position model. The record is from RNAcentral.
UACGAAGGGGGCUAGCGUUGCUCGGAAUCACUGGGCGUAAAGCGCACGUAGGUGGCUUGUUAAGUCAGGGGUGAAAUCCUGGAGCUCAACUCCAGAACUGCCUUUGAUACUGGCGAGCUUGAGUUCGGGAGAGGUGAGUGGAACUGCGAGUGUAGGGGUGAAAUUCGUAGAUAUUCGCAAGAACACCAGUGGCGAAGGCGGCUCACUGGCCCGAUACUGACACUGAGGUGCGAAAGCGUGGGGAGCAAACAGG